This 49-nucleotide small nucleolar RNA is filed under the name Pyrobaculum oguniense TE7. RNAcentral's name for it is "POGsR25". The record is from RNAcentral. Lineage: Archaea; Thermoproteati; Thermoproteota; Thermoprotei; Thermoproteales; Thermoproteaceae.
GUGAUGAAUGUGUUGGUGGCCGAGCGGUGAUGGACGACGGACGGGCUGA